Molecule: long non-coding RNA, 5362 nt
Filed under: Taeniopygia guttata (zebra finch)
Lineage: Eukaryota; Metazoa; Chordata; Aves; Passeriformes; Estrildidae
Description: lncRNA (ENSTGUG00000027605.1)
Source: RNAcentral
GGAGCAGCCCUGCAGACACAAGGGCAGGGGAGAAGGAGGGGCAGGAGGAGCUCCAGGCACUGGAGCUGAGAUUCCCUGCAGCCCAUGGGGGUCCACAGUGGAGCAGGGAUGCACCUGCAGCCCAGGAAGGAGCCCUGCAUGGAGCAGGGAUGCACCUGCAGCCCGGGAAGGAGCCCUGCAUGGAGCAGGGAUGCACCUGCAGCCCAGGAAGGAGCCCUGCAUGGAGCAGGGAUGCACCUGCAGCCCAGGAAGGAGCCCUGCAUGGAGCAGGGAUGCACCUGCAGCCCGGGAAGGAGCCCUGCAUGGAGCAGGGAUGCACCUGCAGCCUGGGAAGGAGUCCACGAUGGAGGCAGGGGGAUGUUCCCAGAGGAAGCUCUGGCUCUGCAGGAAGCCCACACUGGAUCAAGCUCCUGGCAGAACUCAUGGAGAGAGGAGCCUGAGGUGGAGCAGGUUUACUGUGACCUCAUGGGGGACCCAAGCUGGAGCAGCCUUUUCUUGAAGGACUGCACCCUGUGGCAAGAGGACACAUGGAAAAACCCUGGGGCAAGGGAAGAGAAUGAAGGGGAAGGAGCAGCAGGAGCAAUGUGAUGAACUGACCACAGCCUCCAUUCCCUGCACUGCUUGGAAGGAAUUCUGAAGUGAAGUUGAGCCUGGGAAGAAGGCAGGGAUGGGAGGAAGGUGUUUCAAGAUUUUGUUUCAUUUUCUCAUUACUCAACUCACACUUCUAAUUCAUGGUAAAUGAAGUUAAUUUCCUCAAGUGGAGUCCGUUUUGCCCAUGACAGUAAUUGCUGAAUGGUGUCUCCCUGUCCCUGCCUUUCCCACAAGCCUUUUGUUGUGUUCUCUCCCCUGCCCAGCUGGGUGGGCACCCAGCAUCCAACCAGGGUCAUCCCAUCGCAAUAGGAUUGUAUUUUUAGGCCUUGUCUCUCCAGGGAAGUUCACCAUUUCUUUAGCACCAGCUAUCCUGGUGUAAUUCUUUAUGUUGAAUUUAAAAAUUAAAAUCUUUCUCUUGGAUGCUGAAAAAUAACUUCGUUAUUUCUGAGGAAUUACACUGGUAUAAUUACACUGAUAUAAUUACAUUUGUAAUUCAGAUGGAAGAUUUCUCUUGUGGGCACUAGGGAAGGGCCAAAUUUGGUGCUUCGGGAAAUUUAAUUGCAAAUGGUGUUUAUUUUUUUGUUAUACCUCUCCCCUAUAACUAAAAAUAGGAACAUAACUUAAAAGGAGUGAAACCUUUUCUAGUUACUUACUUUCUCUCUCUUAAAAUGAUGGGUGAAAAACCAACCUGGCAUCAGUCUCCAGUUACAAAUUAUUCUAAAAGCACUUUAAUUUUCAUCCUUGGAGUGCAGAAGUAAAGUGAAGUCCAGUUAAUGUAGUGGCAGUGCAGAAUUCCAGCUUACAACCUUCCCUUUAUUUUCCCUAAUUGUCUCCUGGUUGAGCUGCUGACAGCAGUGAAGGGACUGUAAUGGUGCAGUUAUCUCCCAGCUGCCAGAAAUAGCAAAGGUUUAUUGAAAGCCUUAUUUAUGAGGAAUCUCCCUUUCCUGCAUUGUGAUAAACACCAAACCCAUGGCUCUUCCCCUGCUCUGCAAGAGCUGAUGUUGGAAUUAAUCUGUCUGCUGUUCAUGCACAGGGUAACAGGCAAAAGCUGUAAAUAGUAAUAUUUCAAUCCUAAGAUUGUUUUCCCUUUGGCACAAAGAUGAGGAAUUACUCUGGUCUGAAAUGUGGAGGGAAAGGGCUUUUCUCAGUGAAAAGUUUUCCAUGUUCCAUGGACAUCCCAGAAGGUCCCGACAGGGUGCACAGAAUCGGGAAUUGUCUGUGAAAUGUCUGGAAUCAAAAACCACUUUAAUGCCAAGUCUGAUUGUGUUUGUGAGGGACAAUUUCAGAUGAAAGCUGAUGGAUUUAUCACGAGGGAUGGACUUUGCAAGGACUGAGAGUCUUGGGCAUUACAGGUUUGGAAUGAAGAUGGUUUUCAGGUGGUAAAUGCCAGGAAUGAUCAAUAAUUGUUUAAAUCUGAUGGGUUUGCAGGUCUAAGGCCAUUACCUGUCUCUGCCAUUCUUUUGCUGCCAGUGGAUGUGCUGCAGCUCUGUCCAGCUUCAAAUGGAAUAGCAGGAGGGAACUCUGGACAAAGGCAGUUCCUAAAACAAGAGGCUGCUCAUACAGUAGAAUAUCUGUUCUAAAGAAGUGCAGUGGGUUUCUGGAGAUGACUGAAAACUUUCCCAUGUCAUGGAGUUGCUGGGUAAACUUUCCUGGCUUGGUGGUGGCUGUAUUGGAUUGAAUUGCUAUGGAGAAGCAGCAGGAAUCCUGGAAUGGAAAUGUAAAACUUACAUUGUACAGGAAGGGGAUGUGUUCCAGAACAACACUGAAAGUUCAGCUGAGAUGAGAUUGUGUAACACUUCUGCUGGAAGACUUCUUACCCCACUCCUGUGCUUCAUCUGUGUGUAGAUAAUUCUUACUAAAUAAAGGAUUUAUCUUUGUGAAUAGAAGUGGCUGUCCUGUCACAACGGCUCUUCCAGCUCUGCAGCAAUUCCCAGAGGAAACAGUCACUGCUAUGGAAUGUAACCUUUGACCCUUCUGCAGAUUUUGGGACUAAACUCAGGCAACUCAACCUGGAAAUCCAGCAGAAAUGUCGAGAGAGGACUUCUCCAGAGGCAGGUCUUCAGACUGGGCUGUGGGAUCUCCUUCAGAUGAGAAAUGUCAGUUGUACUAAAUGGCACAGUGGAUUUAUUAGUUAAAAGAAAAAGAGCCAAAAUGCUUUACUGGUGUUUUUGGGCAGAAUUUAAAACAGCGUCCCCAAAGCUGAAAGAGUCACGUAACAGCUCAGCUCCCCCACAUUAAUUUCCAGUUUCUAAUGCCCUUUAUAAUAUUGUCAAGUAAAACAUUUUAAACACCAACAUAAACUUGUAGAGCUCUCAGCCUUGUGCUGGAGAGGGAAAAGGAGACAAGUUCUUCCCCUCCAUUAUGGAAUGGAAUAAAGAGCCUGGAGCAGAAUACAUCAGGUGGUGGGGUGUCUUUGAGUGCCUUGUGCAGGGCUCUGCAAGUGUCAGCUGAAGAUUUUACUGGCCUUGUGCACACACCAACAAAUAUAUAGAGAAGUGAGGUUGAACAGAUGAAAGGUUUCCAUAUUACACUUGUCAGAGAAAAUGGAAUGUGAAGGUCAGUCUGUAGUUGGGAGGGAACCAUUCAAAAACAGCAAUGGAGGAAUUACGGAAUGGGCCGUGAGCUUUUAAAACAUGGAAAUACAUCUUCAUGUGUUUCCUCACAGAGUUGUAAAAAUCUUUAUUUCUUCAGUGAAUUCAUAAUCUUCCUGGCUUUUGAAGAACACAGAUAAAAGAUUCAGCUUAUUUACAAUUAAAACAAGGGAAUGUUCUCUGGGGAAAACAGUGUUUGCAGAAUCUGUAAAAGGUGAUGAGUGCUAUCGCGUGUCGAUGCUGCUACUUGUGAUUGCAGGAACGUAGGAUACUUGGCAGGAUACAAGAGAGGGGGAAGAGCACAAGGCACAAGUAUUUUAGGCUGGAGUUGUUCCUUCUGCCUUGUGGAAAUUGCUUCACUUCAAAGCCCACACAAGGACUAUGCUGGUUACACACACACACAAUGUUUCUGAAGUCUACAGGGUAAAAAUUAAUGACCUGAUGUUGUACAGUACAGAGACUUUUUUUUAAAAAAAACCCGAUAUUUUAUUUUACAGUAGGUAAAUGUCAGAGGAAGAGAAAUGCAGAGUGGUGAGCAUGGGUUAGUGGAGAAGGAAGAUUUUGUCCAUUCAAUCCCUUCACUCCCAACAGUGAGCGCUAACCUGGGCCCUGCAUGGCAGCGGGCGUGUGCAGCGGCCCCUUGGGCUUCGUGUGUGAGCUGAUCUCUCCUCCCUAGACACGACCUUACCUUGUGCCUCAUCUUCCUUCUCCCCUUAUUGGGGCUGUAAUUCCUAAAACUUAAAUUCUCCCUAAAACAUUUCCUGUCUAUAAACCAGAGGAAGCAUUAGCAGCUUCAGUCUUAGGGCUGGGCUUUGUCCCAUGUGUUCUGUGGAGAGGUGCUGCUUCCAAAGGUGACCUCAGUGGAAUGGGACACUGUGAAGGCUCCUGUGCUGCCUUUGCACAUCUGUAGCCACAGCCUUGCAGGGAGAGGUUUGUUCAGUGAAAUGCUGCUUGAGGAGCUGUGUCACAGCCUCUGCAUUUUCCAGUUUGGGCUUCAGGUCACCUGAAACAGCAGCCCGCUCCAACAGCCUGCUCCAGGUGGUUCUUUUGUGCUGGGCUCAGGUGUCACUGGGGUUCUCCAGGUGUCUCAUUUUCAGCAGCAUGUCUGGGUGAGUUAGUUGUGCUUCCAGAAUGCUCAGGGAGCUUUGCAGACAGCAGCCAGUGCACACGAUUGCCACAGCAUGGAAAGAUCCAUUUUAAUGCCACAUCUGCUAAAAAUCAGUGUUUGCAAGAGCACUGCUUAGUGCUGCUGCAGAGAGGAAACCUGGCUGCUCAAGGUGUGUUUGGGUGCUGUGCUGCUGCAACAUGUGGAGCAAUUGCAUUGUCUUCUGUUUUCUUACCAGUUUUGAUGUUAGGAAUCUCCAGCUGACCACAGAAACCUUCUGUCACCAAAUGUAGAACUCCAUGGCUAAAAGGUUACCUCCUGAAGAGCAUGAUUUAGCCUGUUAGGUGGGGUUUUUAAUAGUUGCUAUGCUCCCAGCAAAACUGGUAGUUGGAAUUUCAAGUAGUUAAUGAAUUCUCUAAUCAAAAUACGUUGUACCAAAAAGUGGCUGAAAGUUGCUUAAAUAUUCCCAAGACUUUGUGCAAGUCCUGUCCUAGGUUUGUACGUGAAUUACUUUAAUUCUGCCAGAUAUAGCUGGAUAUUUCCAUGAUGCAGUGGCAGCAAAGCUGGGAAGAAUUUAUUGGCACAACAACUGUGUCCAGCAUGUGCUGGUGUGGGGUGUUUCCAACACUUCGUAUCUUCCCUCAGGAGGUGUCUCUGUGUAAUUCCCAGGUGAAUAAUGCUCACAACUCCUCAUUCAUACAGGAAAUGCCACACCAUCGAGCCCUGGUAGUAAUGUACUGAGUAUGUCCAGUGAAAAGGGAACAAUAGAGGCUGGGCUGCAGCACUGAAAUUAUUUCCUGAUGGAAAUGGUCCAGGAAUCAAAGACAGCAAGUCAAAUGCAAAUAACAUUCAUGAAAACAAAAGGGAGCCAUAAAAAACUACAUUCUAGUGGAUGAUCAGCUCUGGAAGCUGAAAGAAAAAAGUGGGUUUUAUUGAUUAUUUUGUGGGAUUUGUUUAAUUUAAUUGAAGGCCCUAAACUUUCUGUUAUUUAGUCUGCUGGGAAGCAGUCAAGUUCCAGUAAAUAAACAUGCAUGUGAUUCCAGUAGGUAUCUAGAAAAGCAAAUCCUCCAAAUGG